RNAcentral lists this long non-coding RNA (1364 nucleotides) under Homo sapiens (human). Its description in RNAcentral is "HSALNT0395224". Lineage: Eukaryota; Metazoa; Chordata; Mammalia; Primates; Hominidae. The record is from RNAcentral.
AGAGAAGCCAUUCGCCUCCUGGGGCCUCCAUGGAGUGAAUGCCUUUAAGAUGACAAGAGCUGGGAUGUAGGAGGAAGGUCAUUUUCUCUCCAAUCUCACACUAAGAAAACGACUAUACAUCCAGGUUAUUCUGAACCUUGGAAAAAAACAGAUUGCUCUCUGCUGGAUAAGUGGUGGCCAAGAGAACCACGUGUGCUGGUGGAAAAGCGCUGGACCUGCUGCCCAGCACCACAGCCGACAGCAGCAAAUGGCCAUUGAACACUUCAAAAUGCGGGGACUCUCGCCCAUUUCCCACAGACCUAUAUACCCCGCCUGCAAACCUGACGGAAAGGCCCACACACCACACCAGAGAGAUGUGGAGGGACGGAGCAUUCAUCAUAGACAGCAUUGGAGCCCCCGUCCCGGAACCCUGAGCAUGCCUGCAGGUUAUCAGUGGAUGCCUCACCUUAGAAAAGUCCCGUAAAACUGAGGAAGAUUGUGGGAGGUAUCCUUGGGGGUCAUCUAGACCAGCACUCCAGCCUGCCCCAAAUCUACAGAUCAAAAAAGCAAAGUCCAGAGAAGUAACGUCUCAAGGUCACAUAAGUCAGUCCCUAUCAACAACAGCACUAAAAUCAAGGCUUCCUAAAACCAGUCGGAUCAUUGUUCCAUUAUAGCAUAUGGCUUUUCUUCUGGAAAAAUGUCCAACUGUAGCAGACAGAAAGGAAGCCAAGAGAGGGUGUUUACAGCAAGGAGGGGCUAUGAAAUAUCUUCACUCCAGGUUCUUUAUGAGCUGCAGUGUAUCAUUUUUAUCAGCAAUUGGAAGCAUGCUGCAUGUUUGACUCUGUGGACUCCUGCUUUACACAACAGAACAUUCCGAUGGUGUGCAUGUGCCAUACCCUGCCGUAACAAAUCUCAGCUGGUCCUCUGCUGUCCUCUGGGGAGAAUGCAUUUGAACUCAUCUCAAAAAGCUGGUUUUCUACCCUGGAGGUCUCCGAUGGCUACUGCGAGAAGAAAGCCAUGUCCCGAAAGCAGUGAUACAGAUUGGCAGCCACUGCAGAGAUGCAGAAUGUCGAAGAGUGUGUGUGUUGGAAUUCCUGGACAGACACUGCUCUGAAAGAAAAACCCUCUGGUUUUGGAAGUCUGGCUGGGCAAGGCAGGCGGAGGUCAUGGAGGGGCCGGCGUGAUGGAAUCCUCGGUGCAGCUGACUGCGCAGCCCGACACUGGCGUGGACACUGGGACGCGUCAUGCAACAUCCAACCAGAGCACACUCACGAGGACAAACAUGGGCCCACCUAUUUACCAUCAGAAAAACAAAAUCAUGCUCUUUCACUUUGAAAGAAGGGGGAAACUGGAAAGUUAUUAUUUGAAAUAAAAUGGAAUUUUAG